GGAGCUUUACUGUAGCUUGACAUUGGGUCUUGGUACUACAUGUACAGGAUAGGUGGGAGGCUUUGAAACCAGGACGCCAGUUUUGGCGGAGCCAUCCUUGGGAUACCACCCUUGUAGUACUGGGACUCUAACCAUAGGCCAUGAAUCUGGUCUUGGGACACUGUCAGGUGGGCAGUUUGACUGGGGCGGUCGCCUCCCAAAAGGUAACGGAGGCGCUCAAAGGUUCUCUCAGUACGGUCGGAAAUCGUACGUAGAGUGUAAAGGCAAAAGAGAGCUUGAUUGCAAGACAUACAGGUCGAGCAAGGAUGAAAAUCGGACUUAGUGAUCCGGUGGUUCUGCGUGGAAGGGCCAUCGCUCAACGGAUAAAAGCUACCCUGGGGAUAACAGGCUUAUCUCCCCCAAGAGUCCACAUCGACGGGGAGGUUUGGCACCUCGAUGUCGGCUCAUCACAUCCUGGGGCUGUAGUAGGUCCCAAGGGUUGGGCUGUUCGCCCAUUAAAGUGGUACGCGAGCUGGGUUCAGAACGUCGUGAGACAGUUCGGUCCCUAUCCGUCGCAGGCGUAGGAAAUUUGAGAAGACCUGUCC
This 584-nucleotide ribosomal RNA is filed under the name Clostridioides difficile. Its description in RNAcentral is "partial 23S ribosomal RNA". It matches the Rfam family "Bacterial large subunit ribosomal RNA", at positions 2095 to 2677 of the family's 2925-position model. Lineage: Bacteria; Bacillati; Bacillota; Clostridia; Peptostreptococcales; Peptostreptococcaceae. The record is from RNAcentral.